AUACUUCUUCGGACAAUAUACAAGGUGCUGCAUGGUUGUCGUCAGCUCGUGCCGUGAGGUGGUCGGGUUAAGUCCCAUAACGAGCGCACCCCUAUCAUUAGUUGCCAUCAGGUCAAGCUGGGGACUCUAAUGAAACUGCCUACGCAAGUAGUGAGGAAGGUGGGGAUGACGUCAAAUCAGCACGGCCCUUACGUCCAGGGCUACACACGUGCUACAAUGGCCGGUACAAAGGGCAGCUACCUGGUGACAGGAUGCAAAUCUCCAAAGUCGGUCUCAGUUCGGAUCGGAGUCUGCAACCCGACUCCGUGAAGUUGGAUUCGCUAGUAAUCGCGCAUCAGCCAUGGCGCGGUGAAUACGUUCCCGGGCCUU
Molecule: ribosomal RNA, 369 nt
Filed under: uncultured Sphingobacteriales bacterium
Lineage: Bacteria; Pseudomonadati; Bacteroidota; Sphingobacteriia; Sphingobacteriales
Description: bacterial SSU rRNA
Rfam family: Bacterial small subunit ribosomal RNA
Source: RNAcentral